Molecule: ribosomal RNA, 253 nt
Filed under: uncultured bacterium
Lineage: Bacteria
Description: partial 16S ribosomal RNA
Rfam family: Bacterial small subunit ribosomal RNA
Source: RNAcentral
UACGUAGGGUGCGAGCGUUAAUCGGAUUUACUGGGCGUAAAGAGCGCGCAGGCGGCUGGUCAAGUCCGAUGUGAAAUCUCCCGGCUCAACUGGGAAACUGCAUCGGAAACUGAUCGGCUUGAAGGUGGGAGAGGGUAGUGGAAUUCCCGGUGUAGUGGUGAAAUGCGUAGAUAUCGGGAGGAACACCGGUGGCGAAGGCGGCUCGCUGGGCCAUUCCUGACGCUGAGACGCGAAAGCUAGGGGAGCGAACAGG